GACGAACGCUGGCGGCGUGCUUAACACAUGCAAGUCGAACGGAAAGGCCCUGCUUUUGUGGGGUGCUCGAGUGGCGAACGGGUGAGUAACACGUGAGUAACCUGCCCUUGACUUUGGGAUAACUUCAGGAAACUGGGGCUAAUACCGGAUAGGAGCUCCUGCUGCAUGGUGGGGGUUGGAAAGUUUCGGCGGUUGGGGAUGGACUCGCGGCUUAUCAGCUUGUUGGUGGGGUAGUGGCUUACCAAGGCUUUGACGGGUAGCCGGCCUGAGAGGGUGACCGGCCACAUUGGGACUGAGAUACGGCCCAGACUCCUACGGGAGGCAGCAGUGGGGAAUAUUGCACAAUGGGCGGAAGCCUGAUGCAGCAACGCCGCGUGCGGGAUGACGGCCUUCGGGUUGUAAACCGCUUUCGCCUGUGACGAAGCGUGAGUGACGGUAAUGGGUAAAGAAGCACCGGCUAACUACGUGCCAGCAGCCGCGGUGAUACGUAGGGUGCGAGCGUUGUCCGGAUUUAUUGGGCGUAAAGGGCUCGUAGGUGGUUGAUCGCGUCGGAAGUGUAAUCUUGGGGCUUAACCCUGAGCGUGCUUUCGAUACGGGUUGACUUGAGGAAGGUAGGGGAGAAUGGAAUUCCUGGUGGAGCGGUGGAAUGCGCAGAUAUCAGGAGGAACACCAGUGGCGAAGGCGGUUCUCUGGGCCUUUCCUGACGCUGAGGAGCGAAAGCGUGGGGAGCGAACAGGCUUAGAUACCCUGGUAGUCCACGCUGUAAACGGUGGGUACUAGGUGUGGGGUCCAUUCCACGGGUUCCGUGCCGUAGCUAACGCUUUAAGUACCCCGCCUGGGGAGUACGGCCGCAAGGCUAAAACUCAAAGGAAUUGACGGGGCCCCGCACAAGCGGCGGAGCAUGCGGAUUAAUUCGAUGCAACGCGUAGAACCUUACCUGGGUUUGACAUGGAUCGGGAGUGCUCAGAGAUGGGUGUGCCUCUUUUGGGGUCGGUUCACAGGUGGUGCAUGCCUGUCGUCAGCUCGUGUCGUGAGAUGUUGGGUUAAGUCCCGCAACGAGCGCAACCCUUGUUCACUGUUGCCAGCACGUUAUGGUGGGGACUCAGUGGAGACCGCCGGGGUCAACUCGGAGGAAGGUGGGGAUGACGUCAAGUCAUCAUGCCCCUUAUGUCCAGGGCUUCACGCAUGCUACAAUGGCUGGUACAGAGAGUGGCGAGCCUGUGAGGGUGAGCGAAUCUCGGAAAGCCGGUCUCAGUUCGGAUUGGGGUCUGCAACACGACCUCAUGAAGUCGGAGUCGCUAGUAAUCGCAGAUCAGCAACGCUGCGGUGAAUACGUUCCCGGG
RNAcentral lists this ribosomal RNA (1343 nucleotides) under uncultured bacterium. RNAcentral's name for it is "16S ribosomal RNA". It matches the Rfam family "Bacterial small subunit ribosomal RNA", at positions 28 to 1378 of the family's 1533-position model. The record is from RNAcentral.